AGCGGCAGGCUUAACACAUGCAAGUCGAGGGGUAGAAGGAGCUUGCUCCUUUGAGACCGGCGCACGGGUGCGUAACGCGUAUGCAAUCUACCUUGUACAGGGGGAUAGCCCAGAGAAAUUUGGAUUAAUACCCCAUAGUAUUUUCAGAUGGCCUCAUUUGAUUAUUAAAGUUCCAACGGUACAAGAUGAGCAUGCGUCCCAUUAGCUAGUUGGUGUGGUAACGGCAUACCAAGGCAACGAUGGGUAGGGGUCCUGAGAGGGAGAUCCCCCACACUGGUACUGAGACACGGACCAGACUCCUACGGGAGGCAGCAGUGAGGAAUAUUGGUCAAUGGGCGCAAGCUUGAACCAGCCAUGCCGCGUGCAGGAUGACGGUCCUAUGGAUUGUAAACUGCUUUUGUACAGGAAGAAACCCUCCCUUGUAAGGGAGCUUGACGGUACUGUAAGAAUAAGGAUCGGCUAACUCCGUGCCAGCAGCCGCGGUAAUACGGAGGAUCCAAGCGUUAUCCGGAAUCAUUGGGUUUAAAGGGUCCGUAGGCGGUUUUAUAAGUCAGUGGUGAAAUCUGGUCGCUCAACGAUCAAACGGCCAUUGAUACUGUAAGACUUGAAUUACUUGGAAGUAACUAGAAUAUGUAGUGUAGCGGUGAAAUGCUUAGAGAUUACAUGGAAUACCGAUUGCGAAGGCAGGUUACUACGAGUAUAUAUGACGCUGAUGGACGAAAGCGUGGGGAGCGAACAGGAUUAGAUACCCUGGUAGUACACGCCGUAAACGAUGGAUACUCGCUGUUUGGAGCAAUCUGAGUGG
Molecule: ribosomal RNA, 805 nt
Filed under: Flavobacterium sp. IsoD1
Lineage: Bacteria; Pseudomonadati; Bacteroidota; Flavobacteriia; Flavobacteriales; Flavobacteriaceae
Description: bacterial SSU rRNA
Rfam family: Bacterial small subunit ribosomal RNA
Source: RNAcentral